AGAGCGAACGCUGGCGGCAGGCCUAACACAUGCAAGUCGAGCGCCCCGCAAGGGGAGCGGCAGACGGGAGAGUAACACGUGGGAACGUACCCUUCAGUUCGGAACAACCCAGGGAAACUUGGGCUAAUACCGAAUACGUCCGUAAGGAGAAAGAUUUAUCGCUGAAGGAUCGGCCCGCGUCUGAUUAGCUUGUUGGUGAGGUAACGGCUCACCAAGGCGACGAUCAGUAGCUGGUCUGAGAGGAUGAUCAGCCUCACUGGGACUGAGACACGGCCCAGACUCCUACGGGAGGCAGCAGUGGGGAAUAUUGGACAAUGGGCGCAAGCCUGAUCCAGCCAUGCCGCGUGGGUGAUGAAGGCCCUAGGGUUGUAAAGCCCUUUGGCGGGGAAGAUAAUGACGGUACCGCAGAAGAAGCCCGGCUAACUUCGCGCCAGCAGCCGC
This 441-nucleotide ribosomal RNA is filed under the name uncultured bacterium. Its description in RNAcentral is "SSU rRNA". It matches the Rfam family "Bacterial small subunit ribosomal RNA", at positions 26 to 518 of the family's 1533-position model. The record is from RNAcentral.